GAUGAACGCUAGCGGCAGGCCUAACACAUGCAAGUCGAGGGGUAGAACACUUCGGUGUUUGAGACCGGCGCACGGGUGCGUAACGCGUAUGCAAUCUACCGUAUACAGGGGAAUAGCCCAGAGAAAUUUGGAUUAAUGCCCCAUAGCAUUAAGACUUGGCAUCAAGAUGUAAUUAAAGUUCCAACGGUAUAAGAUGCGCAUGCGUCCAAUGAGUUAGUUGGUAAGGUAACGGCUUACCAAGACGAUGAUGGGUAGGGGUCCUGAGAGGGAGAUCCCCCACACUGGUACUGAGACACGGACCAGACUCCUACGGGAGGCAGCAGUGAGGAAUAUUGGUCAAUGGUCGCAAGACUGAACCAGCCAUGCCGCGUGCAGGAAGACGGUCCUAUGGAUUGUAAACUGCUUUUAUACAGGAAGAAACCCUCCCACGUGUGGGAGCUCGACGGUACUGUAGGAAUAAGGAUCGGCUAACUCCGUGCCAGCAGCCGCCGUAA
RNAcentral lists this ribosomal RNA (494 nucleotides) under uncultured bacterium. Its description in RNAcentral is "partial 16S ribosomal RNA". It matches the Rfam family "Bacterial small subunit ribosomal RNA", at positions 28 to 523 of the family's 1533-position model. The record is from RNAcentral.